GUGGGGCGGCAGGACUACACAUGCAGUCGAGCGGUAGCACAGAGAGCUUGCUCUCGGGUGACGAGCGGCGGACGGGUGAGUAAUGUCUGGGAAACUGCCUGAUGGAGGGGGAUAACUACUGGAAACGGUAGCUAAUACCGCAUAACGUCGCAAGACCAAAGUGGGGGACCUUCGGGCCUCAUGCCAUCAGAUGUGCCCAGAUGGGAUUAGCUGGUAGGUGGGGUAACGGCUCACCUAGGCGACGAUCCCUAGCUGGUCUGAGAGGAUGACCAGCCACACUGGAACUGAGACACGGUCCAGACUCCUACGGGAGGCAGCAGUGGGGAAUAUUGCACAAUGGGCGCAAGCCUGAUGCAGCCAUGCCGCGUGUGUGAAGAAGGCCUUCGGGUUGUAAAGCACUUUCAGCGGGGAGGAAGGCGGUGAGGUUAAUAACCUCAUCGAUUGACGUUACCCGCAGAAGAAGCACCGGCUAACUCCGUGCCAGCAGACGCGGUAUG
RNAcentral lists this ribosomal RNA (497 nucleotides) under Klebsiella oxytoca. RNAcentral's name for it is "bacterial SSU rRNA". It matches the Rfam family "Bacterial small subunit ribosomal RNA", at positions 38 to 524 of the family's 1533-position model. The record is from RNAcentral. Lineage: Bacteria; Pseudomonadati; Pseudomonadota; Gammaproteobacteria; Enterobacterales; Enterobacteriaceae.